Molecule: long non-coding RNA, 1282 nt
Filed under: Gopherus evgoodei (Goodes thornscrub tortoise)
Lineage: Eukaryota; Metazoa; Chordata; Testudines; Testudinidae
Description: lncRNA (ENSGEVG00005019916.1)
Source: RNAcentral
UGCAGACAUGAGGGGACAAGUGCACAACAUUGAGCCCCGCGGUCCUGGGAAACAAGGGUUCACUAAGCUUACAACUCUUUGGUUUCUUCCUGUAUCUCAUCCAGUCCAAGAGGAGAGGAUUGUAGGAUGGUUUCAGGUGGUGUCACUUACAAAGGUUCUGGCUGUUUUAGAAGAAAAACUUCUUGUCACAAUCUGUGCAUUGUAUCCUUGUCAUUCCCACUGGAUGAAGGCUAGAAAGAAAGUAUGAGGUCCUUUACUGGUGGAUAGUGUCAAUACCUACGUUAGGGAUGGCUAGCUCUCAAUUGCUUUUACUGUAGUUUAAAGGAAGCAUGUCCUUGGCUUCUGCUCCUAAAUGCGCUCUUGAUGUUGACAGUCUAUGCAACUAUCAACCAGUAGUUAAUUUUCCACUUUUUGGUCAGGAUUGGAACAUGUUAUGGUGAAACAACUCAGAGUACCUGGAUGCUUCCACCUUUCUUGCCCUUAUCAAUAGAAAUUCUGAUAUUAUCAGAUCUAUCAGCUGUCUUCAAUACUGUGUCUCAUGAAAGGUGGCUGACACAUUCAUAGUCCAUGGAAAUAGCAGAUUGGGCUACAUUUUAGGGGCAUCACUCCUGAGAUAUCCCAGAGGUUAUUGUUGGACAAUCACACUUCUGCCCCAAAGGCUGUCAUGUGGAGUGCCAUAAGAAUCUUCUUUGCCACCAUAUUAUUAAACGCAAUUGCUCCCUUCUUGUUCAGGCUGGUAGUGAAAUACACUCAGACAGGUCUAUACCUGGUACAUGGUAGUGGUACAGUGGGCUUGCUGAUGCAUUUGUGAGACUCAGUGUUGGCUUGAUCUAUUCUCCAUCAACAUGCACAGGAUAGGGAUGUGAUGGCACAAGGGAGGAUGCUCUCCCACCCAUGCAGAUACCCACAGAGGUGGGAGAAUGUUUUGGCAAUAUGUAAGUAACUCCAUUGAUUUCUGGAGCUACUCAGCUUGAGUAAGAGUGCCAGGAACAGGCCCUUUGAAAGGAAAAAAAAAAUAGCUGCAAAGUUAUAAAAGAGGAGUAGUAUACAAAAAUAACGUUGCCAUUAUAAUCUUAAUCACGUUCCUGUUCACAUUAGAUCUGUUUUCUCCCACCAAAUAUUAUAUCCCUUUUGUAUUUAUGUUACUUUAUUUUAUUUACAAGCUCCUGUGAACAUUAUCAGUGGCAAUACUACUUAAUGGGCACAGCCCAGUGACAGCAAUAGAUUUCUGACUGAUAGUAAGCACUAUACCUGGUUGUAAUGGUAUGCAGGAUCAGAUCCU